This 324-nucleotide long non-coding RNA is filed under the name Elaeis guineensis (African oil palm). Its description in RNAcentral is "long non-coding RNA (EGUI_LNC031479)". Lineage: Eukaryota; Viridiplantae; Streptophyta; Magnoliopsida; Arecales; Arecaceae. The record is from RNAcentral.
GGAAAGACAUGAUCUACAAUCUCUAAAAAUAAAAAUAACUAUGUAUCACAUUGUAUUAACUGUAUACCAUAAUAAAAUAAUUAUGUAUCAUAUUUAUUUAACUGUAUAUUAUGAUACCUUAACUUUGUACCACGUUCAUAAAAGUAAUGUGCAUAAUUUAUAACUAAAUGAAAAAUGAGCAAUAUUAGUAUGAAACAUAAAUCAGAAAAAAGAUACCUGACUGCAUCAAUAGGAUAUUUUUGUCCAGAUCUUGAUGAUGUACGAUUUCAGUUCCUUUUCGAGCAUCCUAGUUUCUGCAAGAAAUAGUUCUUCUUCGAUGAAAGG